This 497-nucleotide ribosomal RNA is filed under the name uncultured bacterium. RNAcentral's name for it is "partial 16S ribosomal RNA". It matches the Rfam family "Bacterial small subunit ribosomal RNA", at positions 28 to 507 of the family's 1533-position model. The record is from RNAcentral.
GAUGAACGCUGGCGGCGUGCCUAAUACAUGCAAGUCGAGCGAACAGAUGAGGAGCUUGCUCCUCUGACGUUAGCGGCGGACGGGUGAGUAACACGUGGAUAACCUACCUAUAAGACUGGGAUAACUUCGGGAAACCGGAGCUAAUACCGGAUAAUAUAUUGAACCGCAUGGUUCAAUAGUGAAAGACGGUUUUGCUGUCACUUAUAGAUGGAUCCGCGCCGCAUUAGCUAGUUGGUAAGGUAACGGCUUACCAAGGCAACGAUGCGUAGCCGACCUGAGAGGGUGAUCGGCCACACUGGAACUGAGACACGGUCCAGACUCCUACGGGAGGCAGCAGUAGGGAAUCUUCCGCAAUGGGCGAAAGCCUGACGGAGCAACGCCGCGUGAGUGAUGAAGGUCUUCGGAUCGUAAAACUCUGUUAUUAGGGAAGAACGAAUGUGUAAGUAACUAUGCACGUCUUGACGGUACCUAAUCAGAAAGCCACGGCUAACUACGUG